RNAcentral lists this ribosomal RNA (254 nucleotides) under uncultured bacterium. RNAcentral describes it as "partial 16S ribosomal RNA". It matches the Rfam family "Bacterial small subunit ribosomal RNA", at positions 524 to 776 of the family's 1533-position model. The record is from RNAcentral.
UACGGGGGGAGCAAGCGUUGUUCGGAUUUAUUGGGCGUAAAGAGCUCGUAGGUGGUUCGGUAAGUCGGAUGUGAAAUCUCCAGGCUCAACCUGGAGGGGUCAUUCGAUACUGCCGUGACUAGAGUUCGGUAGGGGAGUGUGGAAUUCCUGGUGGAGCGGUGAAAUGCGCAGAUAUCAGGAGGAACACCCGUAGCGAAGGCGGCUCACUGGACCGGUACUGACGCUGAUGCGCGAAAGCGUGGGGAGCAAACGGG